RNAcentral lists this long non-coding RNA (773 nucleotides) under Sorghum bicolor (sorghum). Its description in RNAcentral is "long non-coding RNA (SBIC_LNC002017)". Lineage: Eukaryota; Viridiplantae; Streptophyta; Magnoliopsida; Poales; Poaceae. The record is from RNAcentral.
UGAGGGUUAAGGCAAUCAUGAUAGCUAACAACAACUGCUCUGAGGGUCACCCAUGUUACUUCGAGCAGCUGUCACCUUUCAACCAUUGUCAAGUCCGAGCAUAGCCUUGUCUUUAAGCAGUGGGCUUGUGGCAAAUGCUAACAUUGUUUUCUUCGUAACCAUCUAGGAAUAGUUAGCUCGUGUCGACCCUUGGGUUACAUUUGUGACCUGGGUACAAGGACUAGAAAUGAUGUAGUGUCGCUAGCCCCAACACCAAAAAGAAUUAUAUAUAAUUAGUUGUGGGACAUCUGGUUCAUGACAAAUUUGCUGCAAGACAAAGUUGCAAAAUUUUAGGAUUUCGGGUACUGUAGCACUUUCGUUUUUAUUUGAUAAAUAUUAUCCAAUCAUAGACUAACUAAGCUCAAAAGAUUCGUCUCACAAAUUACAGCUGUGUAAUUAGUUUUUGUUUUCGUUUAUAUUUAAUAAAUCAUGCAUGUGCCGCAAGAUUCGAUGUGACGGAAAAUCUAAAUUUUUUGGCAAAAUUUUUUGAGAACUAAACAAAGCCUUAUUAAUCUGAGUCCUUUUUAUAUUAUUUUUUCUGUAUUCGGUUUUCAUAUAUGUACCGAUAACAUCCGUGAGAAUAUGUACUAAUGGAGACUAUCUAAAAGUUAUUCUAAUUACUAAGCUUUAAUAAUAUUACUAAUAUAUACUUCCUUCGUUCCAAAUGAUUAGCUUUUUCUUUUUUUUUCUAGAUACAUAGCUACAUAUAUAUUAUAUCUAGAUACAUAACAUCU